RNAcentral lists this long non-coding RNA (570 nucleotides) under Heterocephalus glaber (naked mole-rat). RNAcentral describes it as "lncRNA (ENSHGLG00000039760.1)". The record is from RNAcentral. Lineage: Eukaryota; Metazoa; Chordata; Mammalia; Rodentia; Bathyergidae.
GAGUUACAGCAGGACAUUCACAUGGACAACUGUUGGCAUUUGAUGUGUUGUGGUUUUUAUCUGUAUGUACCCCUAAAGCCUCACGCUCAUAGGUGGGGCUUUGGGGGAGGUGAUUGGAUCAUUGGGGUGUGAUGCUUAUCAGUGGAUUAGUCCCCUGAUGAGUUAAUAGCUAAAUGUGAUGUUAGGAGGUUAAGCCUGGUCAAAGGAGGUGUGUCACUGGGGCCGGCCUGGAAGGGUUUAUCACCCUCCUCCUCCCUUGAUCUCUCUCUCUCUGCUUCCUGCCUACCCUGGUAGGAGCUGUUUCUCGUCUUCCAUGCCUUUCUGCCAUGCUGCCCUGCCUUGGAGCCAGACGACUAUGAACUUAAGCCUCUACAAACUCUUCCUGUCUCACAGUGGAAUCUCCUGUUCCUGCACACUAUUGCUAUUGUGAUGCCAUCCAUCCUGUGGGCCUUGCCAGGGCAAGCUGAAGACAGUGCCAUGACCUUGAAACUCCAGAUUAAAGUUCAGUUUUUUCAAAGCCUGCUGAGUUUGAUCAUAAGAACCAUUUACAAAGUGGAAAGUAAUUUAAUG